Molecule: ribosomal RNA, 450 nt
Filed under: uncultured bacterium
Lineage: Bacteria
Description: partial 16S ribosomal RNA
Rfam family: Bacterial small subunit ribosomal RNA
Source: RNAcentral
GUGGGGAAUCUUCCGCAAUGGACGAAAGUCUGACGGAGCAACGCCGCGUGAGUGAAGAAGGUUUUCGGAUCGUAAAGCUCUUUCGUUAGGGACGAACGUGCUCUUUGUGAAUAAUGAGGAGUAAUGACGGUACCUAAAUAAGAAGCCACGGCUAACUACGUGCCAGCAGCCGCGGUAAUACGUAGGUGGCAAGCGUUGUCCGGAAUGAUUGUGCGGAAAGCGCGCGCAGCCGGGAUAUCAAGUCUGUCUUAAAAGUGCGAGGCUCAAACGCGGGGUGGGACAGAGAGUGGUAUUCUUGAGUGUCGGAGAGGAAAGUGGAAUUCCAAGUGUAGCGGUGAAAUGCGUAGAGAUUUGGAAGAACACCAGUGGCGAAGGCGACUUUCUGGACGAAAGCUGACGCUGAGGCGCGAAAGCCAGGGGAGCGAACGGGAUUAGAUACCCAUGUAGUCC